This 522-nucleotide ribosomal RNA is filed under the name Triticum aestivum (bread wheat). Its description in RNAcentral is "partial small subunit ribosomal RNA". The record is from RNAcentral. Lineage: Eukaryota; Viridiplantae; Streptophyta; Magnoliopsida; Poales; Poaceae.
AUGUUCAAGGACGUGGGACUUGACAUGUCCGUUUAUGGCUACCUGCUUCCCUUACUCGGCCAUAAAGUAGCUCCUGCCGCUGAUGCUCCCAACUCAUCCACGCAGGUUCACACAAAGAGACGCAGCAGGCUGGUGCAUGACAAGAUGAGUGACCUUGUUUUCAUCAAGUUCAACUCCAAACUGAAGGACAAGAAACUAAACAAACUCAAGGACCCCAUUGAGAAGCAGGUGGUAGAUGUUUUAGAAGAUGAUGAGAAUGAAUGGAUCACUGGUGUGGUGCCUAAUGGUGAUGAAGAACAAGUUGAAGGUGAAGAUCAAGAUCAAGAAAUUCCAUAUGCAAGCUCGCAUGCUGGACCAGGAACUUCUGCUAUUAAUCCCCUUAAAAGGAAGAGGGGUGUCUAUGGUAAGAAGAAGAAGAUGAUGAUCCCUGUUACUCCUCAAGAAGAUCUGCUCUCUGCUUCCUCUGCUUCAGAAAGUGACGACGACGAGGACACCAACAUGAGUUCUGGUUCUGACAUGUGA